CUUUUCCCAUCCAAGGUGGCUGAGAGCAUUAGGCAGCUAAGCACUGCAGAUCUUCUCACGAAAGCUACUUAUUUUAGUAUUGUCCUUUAGAGAGUGGAUUGUGCCAUACUACUGCUGUCUUGUCUUGUGCUGUUUUGUUUUGUUUUGUUGUGUCUUGUUGUGGGCUGUUGUCAUCUUACAGACGUUUAUGGACUGGCCUCGACUGACUCCUGGUCUUAUGGUCUUUUACUCUGAAUUGUUUUAUACAUGUUCUGCCCUCUAUUGUUGCUUUAUUGGGUUUCUUUGGCUGGUGCAUUUCUCAGUUUUCCCACUAGUGGGCAGUAUUACCCCUUGAGUUUGUGGCUUCUUGUUUAGUUAGUUUGUGUGCGCUACACUGCCCCCUUUGGUGAUGUGUUAUAAGCAGCAGAAAAAGUUCACGCAGGCAGUGUGAGAAAAUGCCUGGACGAGAAAACAAGCUGCACAACUUUAAGCCCAGUUUACAUCGCUGGGGAGUUUGUUGAGCCAUAAUCUUGGAGGUGCGGCCGCUUCUUGAGGGGCUAGGCACGUGAGGUGGAAUCCCCUCCCCGGUGCAUGAGAGUGUACACACCGGGCAUAGGUAGACUGCACCAUUUAGAUUUCAGUGUGAGUGACAGUGAGGUUUGCAGUGGAACUACACGGGUGAGCAAUUGGUGGCACCCUUGGGCACUCCUCUCUGUAGGUUGCCUCCUCAACUGGCCGGUCUCCACCAUUUUGUUUAGUUAUUUUUAUCAAGCUGUGAUUGUUCUAGGGUAGUAUCGUGGUAGCGAGCCUGUUCAUUUUAAUCAUUGUUUGUUAAUAAAGUGUUUUAAUUAACUGUCUUGCCGUCUCAGCCCUGCUACCUUAAGAACUUUUCUGAUUUUACAGUUCUAUGCUUUUA
Molecule: long non-coding RNA, 895 nt
Organism: Oreochromis aureus
Lineage: Eukaryota; Metazoa; Chordata; Actinopteri; Cichliformes; Cichlidae
Exons: 3
Source: RefSeq, a predicted model, not a curated record